Molecule: long non-coding RNA, 1389 nt
Filed under: Homo sapiens (human)
Lineage: Eukaryota; Metazoa; Chordata; Mammalia; Primates; Hominidae
Description: HSALNT0314690
Source: RNAcentral
GGGCGGAGGUCAGGAAGAAGGGGUGUAAUUCUUGCAUGGAGGGUCAGAACAGAAGUAAAGCUUUCUGCAGUCUACUCUCCUUUUGUAGUCAGAUAAAUUCAGGCUAGAUUCCUAAUUUUCCACUUAUUAGUUGAGUGACUUUGGGCAAAUUAACUCACCUCCCUAACCUUCAGUUUUAUCUGUAAACCUUAUGAUAGCAGUUUGCUCCCGUGAGGCUACAUAAGGCACCUAAUACACUUAGCAGAGCGCUUAGUACCUGGCAAACGCUCACUAAUUGUAAGAUAUGAUUGCUGUUAAUAGCGUUCGCUGCUAGUGGCUGGCUCAUAAGCGUUUUUUAAAAAUCACCACUUCAAUCCCCUUAGAACGUGCUUCCUUAGGUUAACGGCCCUUAUUCUUCUGUGUCCCACGUCUCAACAGAGCCCCUUCCUCCUCCACCCAGGGGAGGCCCAACUGCACCAGGCCAUUCCACUGCUUCAGGACGCAACUGUGCAGGGAGUCCCCACGCCACCGCCACGUGGACGCAGUAGCCGUGGGGAAGUUUUCGCAAUGGCCGCCGGAACGGUCGCCGGCCGAUGCUCUCUGCGACGGAAAGAAAGCCGCCGGACCCACUUCCGGUGCGUUUUACAAUGAACUCCGGGCACUCGAGUCGCUCCCCGGAAACUAUAGUUCUGCUUCCACCGUUGUCCUACUUUGGAUAGAUGGGGUCUUGCUCUGUCACCUAGGCUGGAGUGCAGUAGCAUGAUAUGGCUCACUGCAGCCUCAAACUUGUGGGCUUAAGCGAUCCUCCUGCCUGCCUUCUGAGUAGCUAGGACUACAGAGCAUCAAGACAAAAAUCUCAGUCUUCGAGGAACUCACAGUGUAGCAGAAAAGACAAAGGAGGUAAACAGGAGGAGCAUGAAUAAUUCAUCUUGAUGUAAUCAUGCAAGACUCCUAAGAAGAUGUUAGGAGACCCUGUCAUCAUUCUUUUGGCCUCUAGUGUCCUUUAUCUUCAUGUUUGCUGGCUUCCUUUUACUACUAUGGAAAUACAACAUAUGCAAAAGUAGUGUUUUCACUGUUUAAAAACAUCGUCAGCAGCAUCAUCAUCAUUAACUGCACCAGGAAGCCAUGACUCCUUUCUGGACAAGGUGCACUUGCCUGUCAUCCUUCCAUCUCUUUCUUCCUCCUUGAAGUUCACAAUACCCAGUCCAGGAGCAUUGCAGAGAAUGCUAGGUGUGUCUGCAGACUUGACUUUAAAAGAAAACAAGUUCCUUCAAGUGAGUUCAUCAUGAUGGGAAUGAUAAUUUGUUUGAGAGAAUGUGUGUUCUUUGGCAAAGGAACUCCUGUUAUACCAUGACAGUAAUAAUAGCAGUAAUAAAAUCACCAAUAAUAAAUUUACUUUUGAAUUUAUUU